Molecule: ribosomal RNA, 1343 nt
Filed under: uncultured bacterium
Lineage: Bacteria
Description: 16S ribosomal RNA
Rfam family: Bacterial small subunit ribosomal RNA
Source: RNAcentral
GACGAACGCUGGCGGCGUGCUUAACACAUGCAAGUCGAACGGAAAGGCCCUGCUUUUGUGGGGUGCUCGAGUGGCGAACGGGUGAGUAACACGUGAGUAACCUGCCCUUGACUUUGGGAUAACUUCAGGAAACUGGGGCUAAUACCGGAUAGGAGCUCCUGCUGCAUGGUGGGGGUUGGAAAGUUUCGGCGGUUGGGGAUGGACUCGCGGCUUAUCAGCUUGUUGGUGGGGUAGUGGCUUACCAAGGCUUUGACGGGUAGCCGGCCUGAGAGGGUGACCGGCCACAUUGGGACUGAGAUACGGCCCAGGCUCCUACGGGAGGCAGCAGUGGGGAAUAUUGCACAAUGGGCGGAAGCCUGAUGCAGCAACGCCGCGUGCGGGAUGACGGCCUUCGGGUUGUAAACCGCUUUCGCCUGUGACGAAGCGUGAGUGACGGUAAUGGGUAAAGAAGCACCGGCUAACUACGUGCCAGCAGCCGCGGUGAUACGUAGGGUGCGAGCGUUGUCCGGAUUUAUUGGGCGUAAAGGGCUCGUAGGUGGUUGAUCGCGUCGGAAGUGUAAUCUUGGGGCUUAACCCUGAGCGUGCUUUCGAUACGGGUUGACUUGAGGAAGGUAGGGGAGAAUGGAAUUCCUGGUGGAGCGGUGGAAUGCGCAGAUAUCAGGAGGAACACCAGUGGCGAAGGCGGUUCUCUGGGCCUUUCCUGACGCUGAGGAGCGAAAGCGUGGGGAGCGAACAGGCUUAGAUACCCUGGUAGUCCACGCUGUAAACGGUGGGUACUAGGUGUGGGGUCCAUUCCACGGGUUCCGUGCCGUAGCUAACGCUUUAAGUACCCCGCCUGGGGAGUACGGCCGCAAGGCUAAAACUCAAAGGAAUUGACGGGGCCCCGCACAAGCGGCGGAGCAUGCGGAUUAAUUCGAUGCAACGCGUAGAACCUUACCUGGGUUUGACAUGGAUCGGGAGUGCUCAGAGAUGGGUGUGCCUCUUUUGGGGUCGGUUCACAGGUGGUGCAUGGCUGUCGUCAGCUCGUGUCGUGAGAUGUUGGGUUAAGUCCCGCAACGAGCGCAACCCUUGUUCACUGUUGCCAGCACGUUAUGGUGGGGACUCAGUGGAGACCGCCGGGGUCAACUCGGAGGAAGGUGGGGAUGACGUCAAGUCAUCAUGCCCCUUAUGUCCAGGGCUUCACGCAUGCUACAAUGGCUGGUACAGAGAGUGGCGAGCCUGUGAGGGUGAGCGAAUCUCGGAAAGCCGGUCUCAGUUCGGAUUGGGGUCUGCAACUCGACCCCAUGAAGUCGGAGUCGCUAGUAAUCGCAGAUCAGCAACGCUGCGGUAAAUACGUUCCCGGG